Molecule: long non-coding RNA, 456 nt
Filed under: Pan paniscus (pygmy chimpanzee)
Lineage: Eukaryota; Metazoa; Chordata; Mammalia; Primates; Hominidae
Description: lncRNA (ENSPPAG00000044965.1)
Source: RNAcentral
UUAUGUAUUAUGGUUUUCCUAUACCAGUUAGCUGCCAUCCUACUGAGGAAAAAGACAUCAUUCUAAUGUACUGUAAUAAAUUCUGAUCAUGAAAUCAGCCUAUUAGGAAGCACCUCUUGGAGAUCAUGGAUAACAUGCUAGGAAAAUGCAUCCUUUUUUAGUGGGCUUAUCAAAAAUAGUGAUGACGUACAUCUUGCCAAACCUAUUGCAACCUCCCCUUAGAUGUUAAUAUUAUUGCUGGAAGUUGGACUUUUCAUAGAACGUGAGAGAUUAGAUAUUUUGUUUACUAUGAGAAAAAUGAACUCUUAUUUGGGAUGUAUAACAUGUACCAGAAAAUGUUUCUUCAGUGGCCAUCACAGUGCCUACAUGAUGCAGCAAUAUUUUCUCCUCAAAUGCUCUACUCUCAUUGGUAUGUUGACCUCUAGUUUCCUGAGUCUUCACUGCCGAGUCAUAUAA